ACUCCUACGGGAGGCAGCAGUAAGGAAUAUUGGGCAAUGGAGGCAACUCUGACCCAGCCAUCCCGCGUGAAGGAUUAAGGCCCUAUGGGUUGUAAACUUCUUUUGUUUGGGAAGAAAUCUGGACAUUUAUGUGCAGUUGACGGUACCUUACGAAUAAGCACCGGCUAACUCCGUGCCAGCAGCCGCGGUAAUACGGAGGGUGCAAGCGUUAUCCGGAAUCACUGGGUUUAAAGGGUGCGUAGGCGGUUUGAUAAGUCAGAGGUGAAAGCUAGCAGCUUAACUGUUAAAUUGCCUUUGAUACUGUCAGACUUGAAUCAAGUUGAGGUAGGCGGAAUGUGACAUGUAGCGGUGAAAUGCAUAGAUAUGUCAUAGAACACCAAUUGCGUAGGCAGCUUGCUGGGCUUGAAUUGACGCUGAGGCACGAAAGCGUGGGGAUCAAACAGGAUUAGAUACCCUGGUAGUC
RNAcentral lists this ribosomal RNA (463 nucleotides) under uncultured bacterium. RNAcentral describes it as "bacterial SSU rRNA". It matches the Rfam family "Bacterial small subunit ribosomal RNA", at positions 335 to 795 of the family's 1533-position model. The record is from RNAcentral.